This is a long non-coding RNA of Bos taurus (domestic cattle), 4813 nucleotides long. NCBI's taxonomy places the organism in Eukaryota, Metazoa, Chordata, Mammalia, Artiodactyla, Bovidae. The record is from Ensembl.
AUGGAAGGAGGGCACAGGUUGGAGGUGGGAGGGGGUAUUAGAGGUCACCAACCACAGUUCAGUGAAGGACAGGGCUCAGAUUGGAGAUGGACCCAUCUGGAGACUCUCAUCUUUUAUUCAGACAAACACAUUCUGAGAGGUUCCAGGGGCCAUUGGCCCCAGUGGGGAAUAAGAAAGCCCCCUGUCUUACACAGGAGACAAAUAAGGAUCUAGAGGAUCGCUAAUGGGCCACGAUCACAAGAGAAAUGAGCUCUGGGGGGUGGGAGGAGUGCAGUGAAUGACAGAAGGAAGAGAGAAUACUUGGAUAGACCUCAAAGGGCAAGUGGAAGACAGCUAGGUGAGUAGGGUUCAAGGCAUUGCAUAGAGACAGGAAGUAGCAUCCAUGUGCAAAAACAUGGGAAAGGAAUGGUUCAUACUGCAAACUGCUGGUCAGUCUGCCUGGCAGGGUUAGUGGGAACUUAAGGAGUACAGGGGAUAAAGGAACCUGAGGGUACCUUUUAAACACUGUGCUACGAUUUUAUUAGGAAAAAACCAAAGUGCUCAGCUGUUACGUUAUGUCUGACUCUUUGCUACCCCAUGGACUGCCACCUUCCAGUGUGAGAUGUUAUCAUCAGGGGAAACUGAGUAAAAGGCACAUGUAACCUACAUGUAUCUCAACCGAAAUCUCAAACUAAAAAGAGAAUAAUAAGAAAGAAUGUGCUUUAAAUCUAAUGUUGCAUUAUUUUUUCACUCUGACUCCAGUCACUACUGCAAAGGGGCGCAGAUGAGCAUGUAUUUUACAUACAGAAAUUAAAAUUAUGACAAAAGAUGCAUUUCUUUCUGUACAUGUGGUGAUGCACAAAGGGAAAGGCUGGCAGACAGGCCCUCUCCUGUCACAGUAUCCUUUGCUUUGGGCUUUUCACCAUGGUCCCUGGUCUUUCCUAGUUUUUCAGCUCAGAAUCCUGGUAUUUUCAGUGCACCAAGAAGAGGCCCAGUACAUCUGCAAAAGAACCCAUGAAGCGAGGACAGCCUUGUAACCAAGAACACGGGUUUGGCAAAAGGCAGCCUUGGGUUCAAAUCUCUGCUGUCACUGUGUGGCUUUGGCUAUGUUAACUUCUUUCUUAACUUUCUUUCCUCCUCAGUAAGAGUUAGAUCUUAAUAGUACCACCUUAUUUGGAAGAUUAACUGUCAUGGAUAACACAGUGGAUUGAACAAGAAUAAUAAACUGAUGGCUACCUUCACCAAAACUAAAAAUAAUAGUUAAGAAACAAAAGAAGUAUGAUAUGCAAGGCUUAAGAGAAUAGAGAGUAGACAAAGAGUUAUCAAUAAUAUUUUCAUUUAGUCUAAUACUGUGGAAGGAAACUAACAAACUGGACUAGGCAGAGAGGAAAGCGGCACAUAAAAGCAUCUAGCCAGCCUUACUUGUGAAAUCAAAGUAUCAAACAACUAGAAGAAAUUUUAGCAAUUCAGAGUUCUUUUUUUUUAAAUGUGGAACUAAGGCCUAAGAAGGGCAGCAGUUUGUGCAAGGAGAUGUGGCAGUUAGUGUCAGAGUCAGGACUAGAUCUACUUUCUGACGCAAAUCCUAAUUCUUGGCCAUUAGGUGUCUCUUCUUCCUCCAUUUGAUACCUAAGAGGGAUUUUCCAAUGUGCCAACCAAAGUCAGGAUUUCCUCUUUUUUUGUUUGUGGUUUUAGGGAUUUGAAGGAGGAAAUGAGGGUCACUGAGAUGGGAAGAAAGGAAGAAGUCAUGGGAACCAGGAGAGGCAUCAGGGUACCCUCUGUGGCUAAACAGAAUUUUGCAUUCUAGCUGUUUUGAUGGUUCCAGAAAGUAUCUGCAAAGGCAGAGAAGCACUGCAGAAGACAUCUACACAAAGGCGGCUGCUCUUGAUGGUCUGAAACUAGCAGAGGUUCAGAAUUAAUUUGCUGCUUCUCUGGUCCCAGGUGACAGCACUGCUGGAAGCCUGAAUGAAGUUCAGCAAAUUAAUCUUGCAUAUUUUAUGGGUUCUGAGUGCUGUAUACACAGCAUUCCUGAUGUUGAUUUCUGUCUCAGUCAGCGCAGGUUAGGGGCGGCGGUGGGGGAGGGUGGUGGAUUUGCUUUAUAAUGACUUCAAUUACAGAUAACUAUUAUACUCAGAAUCACACAUCAGCUACUGGUAAACCAGAAUAUGAUACUACACUAGCAGAUGAAGGCCAAGGUUGCCCAGAACACACUUUUAACUCAAUGCUGAUGAUGAUAAAACAGCUCCAUUUCCAGAGAAAGUUCUGCUCCUCCUGUGCUUUCCUGUUGGGUCCCAUCCCUGCUCAGGAUUUGGAAUCAUGCAGAAAUGACAGCACUGCUUAUGCCCCUUUCCAGCUUCCUUUUUGGGAAUGAGCAACAUUUGAAUACUUCUGUUUGAUGUGAAAAGUUGAGUGGAGAGAAAUGACCCAGCAAUCCUGACACCCUCAAAACGAAUCCCCAGUUUUGUACAGCAUCCUGGGAAGAUGCCUAAGUACCAAGCCCAGAAACAACAGGGGGCGCUGUAGAGACAAAGGGCCAUCAGGCAUCCAUCCAGACUGCCCGAGUCACGAAGGCCUUUCACUGUCACACUGGGGCCCCUGGAAGCCAGGCCCUGCCUACUCAAGCCAGCAGUGUGUGUGUCACCGGGGCAGUGCUCUAACAUAACAAUUUGUGAGAGAUCAGUAUGUCCAGCGAGCUGUGGUGCCACAGUGUGGGUGCAAGCCAAGCCUGACCUCUUAUUAACCUCUUCUCAACAGGUCUAGAGAAAACUGAGCCCUCCUCCAGAUCUCAGAGAACUGGAGUCUCAUCUCAGACAAGCAGCAGACAUCAGUGCUCUCAGUUCAGGGAUUAAAUUUAGAAACCCAUUAUUUCUAUUUUCUUACUCGUUCCUCACAUUCGACUCUCUGAAAAGGCAAAAUGUUUAUGAACUUGUUCUUACAGUAACAUCUUCUGGCUCUUACGUUUCCCACAAAAUCCUAUCUUGAAUAACACCAUAUGGUUGGGUUCUCUUUUACAAACUCACCCCACUAACGAUGGUUUGCAGUAAAGCAGAGAAGCAUGGAGGCAGCCCUACAACACUCAAAGAUGUGUACAUCUGCCCCCACCUCAUGUCCACUUGCCUAGGUUUGACCCACAGCACAUCUCCGUCUAACACCUGUCAGUCUUCGUGUGUCUGGUCCUGCCCAGAGUUCAGGAUUUUGGGGCCCUGGCAUGAACCCAUCACACUAAUGUGAUUUUUAUUUUUAUAAAGAGAAGCCAUGUGUUGUGGAUAUUUGUGGGGACCCCCCCAGAGACCACCAAGUUUACAUUCUCCACUGACUUAUGACUAUAAAGCAAAGUGACCCAAAAAAAAAAAAAACCCCUCCAAUUAUUGCAACGCAAACCCCACUUAAUGUAAGUCCCUCUGGCAAACUCCCAGCUAUUUCUCCAACUCUUCCCUCUUCCUCUGAAACCUGCUGGUCUGGUCAGACACAGCUGCCUCUUCCCCCUGGUCUGGGCCAGUGGUCACCACACCCUCCCAACUUCAGAGGCAGAGCACCAUGCUUUCUAACUUCCCAAAGCACUGCUGUGAUGUUAACAAGGCAGUGCAGGUUCCCAGAAGCAUAACUUCUUCCUGAAAGGUAACUCUGUUCUCCCUGAGCUAAGAUGCAUAGACUCUAUCUCAUGCACGAUGCCUAUCCCAGCUGGUCUUUGCCUGUCUCCAGCCUGUCCCAGGCGGCAGAGCCCAACUCACUGCCUUCAGUAGGAAGCUCCAAGCAUCUUCACACCCAUAACCUCCCCAACACUCUCUUCUCUCCUGACACCGAAUUAAAGAAGUCCUUCCACACUCUCACCUAACACCAGUGUCUUUCCUCCUCUAGACUUAAUCCUCAGGUUGACUAUUUCUUCAGGAGGAAGCCUCUAAGUGUACCCUGGAAAAGAAAGUCAGGAUAGUCAUAAGAGGUAUAUUUGGCAGCCUUUUACUGGGCUUCCCUGGUGGCUCAGAUGGUAAAGAAUCUGCCCCCAUUGCAGGAGACCCAGAUUCAACUCCUGGGUCAGAAAGAUCCCCCAGAGAAGGGAAUGGCAACCCACUCUAGUACUCUUGCCUGGAGAAUACCAUGGACAGAGUAGCCUGGCAGGCUACAGCCCAUGGGGUCAGAAAGAGCUGGACACGACUGCGACUAAGCACACACGUUACUAGAUGAAAGGACAGCAUGAGAUGCACCAAGGGUCCCAUGCGCCCUGUCCAAGCCUGAUCCCAGUCCUCUUCCCCACUUUGCUUCACCAGAAGGAGAGGCAUUGAUGCCUGUGUCCCUGCCCCUGUUCUGGCUGGAGCUGUCCUUCCUCUGUGAGCAGAUGUUAGAGUGAGAAGACUGUGUUUUCUAAGAACAGGCAUGAGCAGGCCACAUCAAGAGGUUUAAGAGCAAGGUAAAAUGAAAUAAAAUAGGUCUCUGCCUCUUUGGGGACAAGACAUACUGCCGGCUGCCUUCUGAGAACAAAGCACUUCCAACCUCAGUCUACAGCACUUCCGUUGAGCUCUCUGCUGCAUGUGGGGCUUCCCCCAGGAAAAUGAGGGGUUAUUAUUGCCCUACAUCUGCAUGACUGAAAGGGGCUCACCAAAGAGACAGUCCUUCAGGAAGGUCAGAGGUUCAGUUCCAAAAACAAACUGCAGCAUUCAUCCAGAAAGGUUCAAACUGCCUUCAUCUUCACAAAUGGUAGAAUUUCUAGCUUCUAAAACAAGUUUAGUGACUGUCAGACUUCCUGCUGCCUUCAGAUGACACUCUCAAUGCUGUCACAUAGAGAUCCCAACAUGGGCGUUUCGAGGUUCUUUAAUCCAAAUGGGUUGCUGGAAAUGCAGCU